Molecule: transfer RNA, 84 nt
Filed under: Streptomyces chromofuscus
Lineage: Bacteria; Bacillati; Actinomycetota; Actinomycetes; Kitasatosporales; Streptomycetaceae
Description: tRNA-Arg
Source: RNAcentral
GCCCCGGUGGCCCAGGGGGCGGACGCGCCUCCGGGGAGCGUGGCGGGCGGCGUGCCGCCCCACUGCUCCACCAGUGCCGACGUC